AUAUAAAGAUAUUAUAAAAAUAUCUAUUAUUAUCAAAAAAGUUAUUUUUUUCUUAUACAUUUUGAUAUCGUGCUUCUGGUUGUGUGUUGAGUCAUGUAAAGGCAAAUUUAUGUGGUUGAUUUCAUAUCCUUUAUGAUGAUUUACAAAGUGGACAGAAGACCAUUAGAAACUUCAGUAGUUUAAUUUGGGCUUACAGGCAAGAUUAAACCAGUAAUCUGAACAGAGCAAUUGUGACAUGGAAUUCAGCCUUCCCAAGAAGGUGCAUCAUGCAUGGUGUCAGAAUGUCAUUUUUGCCAAGGGUCAUUUCCAUCAGAGCAAAGUUUUUCAAAGUCUGAAAAAAUUGAAAUAAAUUUUAAUUACUUGAAAUGAAUUACUUGCCUUAGUAAUUUAUUUCAGGAUUCCUUACUGUAUUCUGUCAUUUAGCAAUACAGAGAGAACAGUGUAGAAACUUUUUUAUUAUUUUACCCAGUGCUAAGUCCUAGAUACAGCUUAGUUUCUUUCCCAAAUGUGUAUAUCCCCUCCAGACCUUCCUACAUCCCACCAUGAAAAAACUCAAGACACUGUGUAUAAAAAAUUAGUUAUCUAUGUCUUUGUGUCCCAGAGAUGGAGGCAGUAUUCUACCUUUAAACAUUUCAUGGGAGCUCUGGCAUAUAGAGAAGAAAGUAUAAUUGGAGCACGAGGAUGCCAGAGCAGGGCCCUGGAUGUAAGUGCUUAACAAGAUUCUCCUAAUCAUGAAUGAAAAUUUAUUUUAUGCUUCUUUGAACAUAUCAUUCUACCAGAAUAUGCAGAUAAAAUAACACCUAUUUUCUUUCAUCGAGGAGUUCAUAAACUGACUGGACAACUGAUUUAUCUUUCUUAUAGACAAAAUAUUUUAUGGGUAAAAUAAAUAAAUGGUUAUCAUUUCUUCUGGACCAUCAAGGAAUAAUACGAUAUUAACAAGCAGCCUAAGCAGAGGGAAUGUGAGGUAACAAUGCUAAUGGUGUGAUUUGAGUAUAGAAUGCUGGUUGGAGCCAGCAUUUUCCGAAGUAUAGGUUGCAACCCAUUCAUAGGUCAUGAAAUCAGUUUAGGGGGUCAUAGUUAAGAUGCUUUUAAUGAAAUAGAAUCAAAAGAAGAAAUAUUACAAAAAGAUUGUGUUACAUAUUUUUAGGAUAUGGAUUGAAAAAUGCAUUUCUUACUGGGACUUUGCCACCAAAAUAUGAAAGCAUAUCUAAAGAUGAUAGGUCUUUUAAAUACUCACCUUGUAUAAUCCUGACUAAGGGAUAUAUAUUUUUCCCUAUUUUAACAUAUGAGAAAGUUGAUUAUUUAAGCAGUUUGUCCCAGGUCAUACAAAAGGUAAAUGGUUCAGAUAGGAUGUGAAUGUCUAUCAAACUCCACAUGAAUAUUUCUCCCAUGAUUUGACAGUUUUGCAGGGUUGUGUGACUUCUUUUAUUUCACUGUAGAUAGCUCAUACAUUUAUAUCUUGUCUCAAACUACAGUCCUAAAUUUCCAAUUUCCUUAUUUACAUCUUCAACUAGGUAUCACACCAAUUUUUCCUUUUUUUUUUUUUUUUUUUUUGUCUUUUUGUCUUUUGUCUUUUGUUGUUGUUGUUGUUGCUAUUUCUUCGGCUGCUCCUGCGGCAUAUCGAGGUUCCCAGGCUAGGGGUCAAAUCGGAGCUGUAGCCCCCGGCCUACGCCAGAGCCACAGCAAUGCAGGAUCCGAGCCGCGUCUGCGACCUACACCACAGCUCAUGGCAACGUAGGAUCGUUAACCCACUGAGCAAGGGCAGGGACGGAACCCGCAACCUCAUGGUUCCUAGUCGGAUUCGUUAACCACUGAGCCACGACGGGAACUCCCAAGUCUUCUUAAUUUUUCUUUUUUGGUACCUCUGUCCUAGUCUGGUUUUCAUCUUCUCUUGCUUAUAACCUCUAAUUGGGAGAAAAAGGAGGAAAGAAGACCAGUUCAUUCUCAACUCUGUUGCCCCAUCAGUUUUCAUGAAGCAGGAGCCCUCAGAUCACAUCACUUUUAUUCCAACAAAACUUGAAUAUUCUAUACUAAUUACCAAGCAAUUCCUAACCUAUAUUCAUGACAACCUGAUAGCACCCACCUAUCCUUUUUUUGAGACAUAAAUAACUUUCUAUUUUUUUAAACAAUAUUUCUGGACAUGUCCUUUUUUUAACUAGGAAGCAAAUUCUUAGGGAUGGGGUCCAUAUUUAUUUAUUUAUUUAUUUAUUUAUUUUUGCUAUUUCUUGGGCUGCUCCCACGGCAUAUGGAGAUUCCCAGGCUAGGGGGUCUAAUCGGAGCCGUAGCCACCAGCCUACACCAGAGCCACAGCAACACAGGAUCCGAGCCGCGUCUGCAACCUACACCACAGCUCACGGCAACGCCGGAUCGUCAACCCACUGAGCAAGGGCAGGGACCGAACCCGAAACCUCAUGGUUCCUAGUCGGAUUCCUUAAUCACUGCACCACGACGGGAACUCCGAGAUGGGGUCCAUAUUUAAAUAACAAUUCUCAACCUAUAGAAUUUACUACAAUAGAAUCAUUAAUUCAUUAUUCAGCCAUCCUUAAUACUGGGAAUAUAGAGAUGAUCCAUUAGGGUCUCAUGGAAUUUAUAGUCUCCUAAGGGAAUCAGAAAUUAAAUAAGUAAAGAAAUAAUUACAAAAUUAGAAAAUAUAGUCCAUGAAAAGAGCUAAUAGCUAUGUAAGACAACAAUGGGUGGGGAAGAUCUAUUAUAUUGUCCCUUGGGUGCUCAAGAAAGAAUUCUCAGAGAAAGUGUCAACUUAAAGCUGAGAGUUGAAGGACAGAAGAAUCUGCUAGAUGAAGAAUUUGGGUUGGGGAUGGAAGCAUGAGAAGGAGAGACAGCUCCAGAGAGAAACAGCAUAGGCAAAGCAUUGAGGCAAGGACAAACUUUGUGUAGUCAGGAAAUAAAGGGAUUCUAGAGUGGCUAGAGAGAAGGGAGCAAAGGAGGAAAGUGACUGGAGGUGAGGUCAGAGAAGUAGCCAGAGUAGGGAAUUUGAAUUUUAUUCUGAAUACCCUGGAAAAGCACAUAGUAGAUAUACCUCAAAAAAAAAAAA
RNAcentral lists this long non-coding RNA (3052 nucleotides) under Sus scrofa (pig). Its description in RNAcentral is "lncRNA (ENSSSCG00045015562.1)". Lineage: Eukaryota; Metazoa; Chordata; Mammalia; Artiodactyla; Suidae. The record is from RNAcentral.